CAGUAGCCGCGGUAAAACGGAGGGUGCAAGCGUUAAUCGGAAUUACUGGGCGUAAAGCGCACGCAGGCGGUCUGACAAGUCAGAUGUGAAAUCCCCGGGCUUAACCUGGGAACUGCAUUUGAAACUGUCAGGCUGGAGUCUUGUAGAGGGGGGUAGAAUUCCAGGUGUAGCGGUGAAAUGCGUAGAGAUCUGGAGGAAUACCGGUGGCGAAGGCGGCCCCCUGGACAAAGACUGACGCUCAGGUGCGAAAGCGUGGGGAGCAAACAGGAUUAGAUACCCGCGUAGUCCCUGUCUCUUAUAC
This 301-nucleotide ribosomal RNA is filed under the name uncultured bacterium. RNAcentral's name for it is "partial 16S ribosomal RNA". It matches the Rfam family "Bacterial small subunit ribosomal RNA", at positions 509 to 807 of the family's 1533-position model. The record is from RNAcentral.